This 467-nucleotide ribosomal RNA is filed under the name uncultured bacterium. RNAcentral describes it as "partial 16S ribosomal RNA". It matches the Rfam family "Bacterial small subunit ribosomal RNA", at positions 29 to 507 of the family's 1533-position model. The record is from RNAcentral.
ACGAACGCUGGCGGCGUGCUUAACACAUGCCAGUCGAACGGAAAGGCCCUGCUUUUGUGGGGUGCUCGAGUGGCGAACGGGUGAGUAACACGUGAGUAACCUGCCCUUGACUUUGGGAUAACUUCAGGAAACUGGGGCUAAUACCGGAUAGGAGCUCCUGCUGCAUGGUGGGGGUUGGAAAGUUUCGGCGGUUGGGGAUGGACUCGCGGCUUAUCAGCUUGUUGGUGGGGUAGUGGCUUACCAAGGCUUUGACGGGUAGCCGGCCUGAGAGGGUGACCGGCCACAUUGGGACUGAGAUACGGCCCAGACUCCUACGGGGGGCAGCAGUGGGGAAUAUUGCACAAUGGGCGGAAGCCUGAUGCAGCAACGCCGCGUGCGGGAUGACGGCCUUCGGGUUGUAAACCGCUUUCGCCUGUGACGAAGCGUGAGUGACGGUAAUGGGUAAAGAAGCACCGGCUAACUACGUG